UUGCUACUUUGCCGGCGAGCGGCGGACGGGUGAGUAAUGUCUGGGAAACUGCCCGAUGGAGGGGGAUAACCACUGGAAACGGUGGCUAAUACCGCAUAACGUCUUCGGACCAAAGUGGGGGACCUUCGGGCCUCACACCAUCGGAUGUGCCCAGAUGGGAUUAGCUAGUAGGUGGGGUAAUGGCUCACCUAGGCGACGAUCCCUAGCUGGUCUGAGAGGAUGACCAGCCACACUGGAACUGAGACACGGUCCAGACUCCUACGGGAGGCAGCAGUGGGGAAUAUUGCACAAUGGGCGCAAGCCUGAUGCAGCCAUGCCGCGUGUGUGAAGAAGGCCUUCGGGUUGUAAAGCACUUUCAGCGAGGAGGAAGGGUAGUGUCUUAAUACGGCAUUACAUUGACGUUACUCGCAGAAGAAGCACCGGCUAACUCCGUGCCAGCAGCCGCGGUAAUACGGAGGGUGCAAGCGUUAAUCGGAAUUACUGGGCGUAAAGCGCACGCAGGCGGUUUGUUAAGUCAGAUGUGAAAUCCCCGAGCUUAACUUGGGAACUGCAUUUGAAACUGGCAGACUAGAGUCUCGUAGAGGGGGGUAGAAUUCCAGGUGUAGCGGUGAAAUGCGUAGAGAUCUGGAGGAAUACCGGUGGCGAAGGCGGCCCCCUGGACGAAGACUGACGCUCAGGUGCGAAAGCGUGGGGAGCAAACAGGAUUAGUAGCC
Molecule: ribosomal RNA, 713 nt
Filed under: Serratia sp. L5
Lineage: Bacteria; Pseudomonadati; Pseudomonadota; Gammaproteobacteria; Enterobacterales; Yersiniaceae
Description: bacterial SSU rRNA
Rfam family: Bacterial small subunit ribosomal RNA
Source: RNAcentral